Molecule: ribosomal RNA, 292 nt
Filed under: uncultured bacterium
Lineage: Bacteria
Description: partial 16S ribosomal RNA
Source: RNAcentral
GGACUACUGGGGUUUCUAAUCCUGUUUGCUCCCCACGCUUUCGUAGUUGAGUGUCAGUGCCUGUCCAGGUCGCCGCCUUCGCCUCUGGUGUUCCUCCCGAUCUCUACGCAUUUCACCGCUACACCGGGAAUUCCACGACCCUCUCCAGGACUCUAGUCUUACCGUUUCUGGGGCACUUCUUGAGUUGAGCUCAAGGCUUUCACCCCAGACAAAUAAGACCACCUACCUACCCUUUACGCCCAAUAAUUCCGAGCAACGCUUGCACCCCUCGUAUUACCGCGGCUGCUGGCAC